GUGCGAUUCGUCCGCCGCCAGACGGCUAGGACAGGAGUACGGUGAGCUGUUGCCAGCUGAGGUGCAUGUGAGAGUUCCUUCACCUCGAGCUAGACAGUGCGCGGACUAUCCGCGAUUGAUUGACUCAAGACCGAGUCGGGUGGCAUAGAGAACUAAGGUAAGAGAAACCUUAGGAAAGAAUGGCCAGUAGAAAAGUGCGACAAAGUGUAAAGAAUAAAGAAUAAGUAAAGAAUAAAGUUCGGCUAAGGAAUAAGAAUAGCUGAUUAGUAAAGAAAGGUUACAAGUAAAGAAUAGCUAAGAGCUAAAAGUAAUUAAAUGACAAGAGUAAAGAAUGAUUAAGAAUAUAAGUAGCGUUAAAGUAACCUACUUGCAUGAUUACAGGUAUUGCAUAUUGCAUUUCGUGAGGCAUGACAUGUAUUUCAAUUGAAUAUAUAUAUCUGUUGUAUAUUGUUGAACUAACAUGUUGCAGUGCCUCGUUAGACCUGUUGGUUGAGCUGGUUCUCUUGGGUGGCUAAACCCACUGAGGACUAUGGACAAUAGUCUCACCCCCGUGUUGCUGUUUUGGGGGUACAGGUACACACGUGUGCGGCGCGGCGGCGCAAGGCGAGGGCGUAGUUCUGCAGAUAGCGCCCUACCCCAGAGACCAGAGCUAGCAGUACCCCAUCUAUAUAGCUUAGGGGUAAAGGAAAUGAAAAGAAUACAAUGUAUCAAACUUGUAGUAAGUAAAUGUUGUAAUAACUUAGAUUGCAUUUGGAUGAAAAAGAAUGGAAACUGUGAUGUAAAAACUAUGAAAGUGAAUGAAUGUAAUAACUUAGGAUGUGUUUAUGUUGUAUGAUACCUUCCACUUGAAAUCUUGAUUGAUAUCCGUUCCUGGUUGGAACCUUCGUGAAUUGUAUUGAUUGCGAUGCUUUGAAUGUACAGGGGAGACUCUGUCCGUAGUACAAGGGAAACCUUGUCCAUUCGGCGAUGUCGGCGGCGCCGGGACCUUGGCCAAAUAGGCGGGUGGUCGCGGGCUGUGACAGUUGUGGUAUCAGAGCAUAAAGUAGAGAAUGGGAAUGGCUUAGACUGACCUAGGAGACCCUAGGAUAGUAAAACCAUAGAAGAAUAAGGCUCGUGAGAGACGAGGACUCAUGAUUCGUGGCGAAAGGUUAAUGGAUUGGGUUGUGUUGUAAACCUCUAAGACGGAUAUUAGAGGUAGACUCGAGGUGUUGUUUAUUCUCAGCCAAGGAUGUUCAUGUUGGGCGUACGACAACAUGAAACCGAGUGAUGUGAAUAAACACCCUUGCGUGACUUUCGCCUGAUUGGCUUUUGAGCCGGUGUUAGUGGUCUCGUGUUCGACCCAAGUUGGUCGAGAACUAAUCGAGUUGUCGUGUUUCAGGAAGCGAUGGCACCGCGUAGGCGAUCUUCUUCCAGAUCGGCGCGGGAGGGGACAAGUGGUGUUCCCGAGCAAGUCGACGCGAGCGAAGGCGCAGAGCUUCGUGAUCAGUUGGCCACACUCAUUGGAGUGAUGAGGCAACAAGCUGAUGUGGUGCAGAGGCAGCAGGAGGCUGCUAUGCGCCAGGAAGAGCGAAUGGAAAGACUCCAAGAAACGGUGGACCAGCUGGUGGGUGCACCAGCUGCGGCUCGUCGAGAACGGCCGGGAGUCGCGGCGGAGAUGUUCCCGUCGGGGUCGGGCGAUCCGACUCCUGUUAGUUCAGAGGUGGCGGCAGAAAGGGAGCGAGCUUUGGCUGCCCUCAUGGCUUUCAAGAAAUUUGAUCCGCCUACCUUCGAUGGUGAGGAUCCAGAUCCGUGGAUCGUGGAGAUGUGGAUUGAUGCCAUGGAAACGCUCUUCGAGGAUCUGUACACGUUGGAGCGAGACAAGGUAAACCUAGUCGCGCAUUAUCUCAAACAGUCGACGAAGGUGUAGUGGAAAGGCGUCAAGCAUGAUCGACCGCCUAGUCUCCCUCCUAUGACGUGGGAAGAAUUUCGGGGAUUGGUGUUCUCUGCUUAUUUCCCCGAUAGCGAGAAGCGGAAGCUCAAGGAAAGGUUCCUUAAGCUGCGGCAAGGAAGUCGCACGGUCAGGCAAUAGGAGCGGGAGUUUUUCCGUAUCGUGCAUUGUAUCCCAAACGUGGUGCGAGAUGACAAGGACAGGGCCGACUGCUUCGUGCGUGGACUUCAGCCAGAUCUUUACCAGGCGGUGCUGGUACUCAAGUUGCAGAUUUUUGCUGAAGUCCUGGAUCGGGCCUUGUGGAUAGAACAGGGCAACGCCUUUAUGCGGGAAGAGCGAGAGGCAUAUUACAAGGAAAAGGGGAAAGGACGACCGACAGGUGGAUCCAGUAGUCAGUCAAGUUCCCAACGGACUUUGACGAGUUCGCACUCGCGAUCCCGAGCUCCGGGGACAUACCGCAUUCAGUCCUCGGCGAAAUGUGCUAUUUGUGGAGGCCCUCAUUUCCCACGACAGUGUGAGCAACGUGAAGGCAAGUACUUCAAGUGUGGGCUGCCGGGUCAUAUGUGGGACGAGUGUCCGCGUGGUGACGGCCGGGCCUUGACACUGGCGACGGCCCAUCCCUCUCUGGGACAACCUGCAGGUGUGCCACCUGCGGCAUGGUCGGGAGAGCGGCCGUUGAGGACGAUGCAACCAGAGGGUUCGCGACGAGCGCCAGGUGGGCAUCGGUAAGCGACCCGAGUUGCAGAGCCUGCCGUUGCUGACGUCAUCGUGGCAGGUAUGAGUUAAUUGAGCAAGCAUGUGCUUUUACUAAUCUCAAGUUGGUGCAUAGCAUGCAUUUGUUGUUGGUCGGUUGCUACUAAUUAUAUAUUGCAUAGUAGGGACCGAAUAGUCGGGUAAGUAGACGCCCGUACAUGCUUGCAUUGUGAGAAGUGGCACCUGCUGGUGCAAGUAGAAAGCCAAGUGGUGCUAGCUAAUGGCUAGUGAUGAUUCUCCGGUACGGAAUGAGGCUCGUGGAGAACAUGGUCUAGUAAGUGACUCUCGAAAUAAUGGGUUGAAAAUUGUGAGAGUUGAGCCUUGAUGUUGAGGAUACUCGAAAGACACGGGAGUUGAGAAUGUAUUCCGGUAGAUCGAACAGUGAAGGUAGAAUCACUGUUGAGAGAGUAACCGUAUAGUUGCCGAAUACGGGCACGUAGGCCUAGUAGUACCUCAAGUUGAGGUCGGCGAGUCCUGCUCGUGUAGUCGGUGUGCAUAGGCAAGGUUGCCUGAUGCUAGAUUUCGUGGAACGCUUUAGAGGCGUAGAGCGCUCGAGUGUAGUUACUCGUGAAGUGCGGUUUUGAUUCAGCCGGUUGAGUGAAUUGGCAGUAGCACUUUAGCAGGGCUAAGUGUGAAGCGGGCCAUGGAUCACUCGUAGGGCUGGUGGCUCGCACUAGGUACCUGGGGGCCGAUAGAGUGUGUAGCUCUGUAGAGCAUGUCGUUUAGGACGACGACGACGAGUGGUGCUUGAGGAUGACCCGUGCCUGGACCGUUUGUGAACUGUGUAGCCUGGGCCCAUUGGGCAGGCGCAGUCAGCUGUGAGAGACAGCGGCCCGAUACCUACUGGUAGGGCAUAGUGUUGGUCAGGACGGUAGUCCGAGCUUGGACAUAAGUACGUGGAAUGCCACGCGAUAGAUCGUGAGAUUGAUGGCACACCAAGUGUGUAGUGACCCAACCCGAGGACUUGACGUGGUCUAGGAUCUUGGUUGCACCUGGUUGGAGUGUGUGUGAAUUCUCCAAUGAGAAUUUCGCCCAAUGAUGAUUGGAUCUACGAUGCGGGCAAGAGACGCUAUGCGUAGUUGUGACAGGUAUAGGCGGUAGGCCUACGUAAUGAUUAUGAUCGUUGGUCCGCCUGUGAAAACCGAUGAUCAGUGCGGCAAGCAACUCUGUUAGUGAGUUGGGCUUGGAUUCACGAACGGAGGGUUCGUGUGAUGUUGAACGUGGCUUGUGGUAGUAAAGGAUAAAGAGAAAAGUAAAGUGUUCUCUAGGAGACACUUGAAUAAGAAAUAGCCACGUGAGGGUUGGUGUAAGGAAGUGAAUUCUCGAAAUGCGAGAGUUGGACUUCGCUCAAAAUCGACAAAUUGUCGAGUGGUUGUGCUUCGGAAAUGCCGAAGAGGUCAAAUACACCAAAGGUGCAUUGCAACGGAUCUGCGAGAGCAAGUGUGCAAAAAUCUGCACUUGGCAGAUUUGCUCUCGGGGACCGAUCCCUGUCAAGGAAGGACCGGUCCCCCGUAGCUGGUUGGUGCGAGGUUGCGUGAUGCAACCGGUCCCUUGGCCAGAGGGACCGGUCCCCCGUAUGCGAAACCGGCGAGAAGAGGAAAUUGGCUAAGUCCUGCGAGAGCAAGCUCUCGGGGACCGGUCUCUAGUGGACAGACCGGUCUCCGGGGGACCGGUCCUCCAGGGACAGACCGGUUCCCGUAAGUGUGUUCAGGCUGAAGGCUCUCGGGGACCGGUCCCUGGCAGGGAGAGACCGGUCCCUCUACACAUAAAAUUUUCCAGGCAGGCUGGGUCAUGUUGGAGGAGUUGGAAUUGUUUGAGUUUCGAGGACGAAACUCUUAUAAGGAGGGGAGAAUGUAACAUACCGAAUUUUAAAUAUAAAAGAGAAAAAUAAAUAAAAAUAGUAUGAGAUACUAUUUUAUUGGAUUUAGAGAAGUGAAAUAUCGGUUGGGAACGACCUGUGCUGAAAUCGGAGCGAAAACAGAAGAUUUAGAAUUUUCUGUUGGAAACGGGACUGAUAAAUUAGCAGAAAAUGCACAGUCUCAGAAAAUUAUAAAAAAUUAGAGGAUAAGUCAGAAAUAUUUUUAUGAGGCUAGAUUUGAAGUUUCAUAUUUUUCUGACGCCCGUAGAGAGAGAAAUAGCAUCCGAAAGCUAUCUGAUAAAGAUUGCAGUUCGGUACAGUUUUCAGUGACCAAACGGGGUCGAAACUGAAAUAUUAAAAUUUCUUUGGACUUAUUAAGUAAAACCGAGCAUGCCUGUCAAAUUUGAGCUCAAACGGACAUUCAGAAGGGCUCCGGCGAAAAAUAAACUGCCCGAAGUGAAUAGUGCGUAGUUGAGGGGCAAAAUGGUAAAAAGGGUUUAAAACCCCUUUUCUUCUUCUCCUCCCAACCGUGGCUGCCCCAACCGCACACACCACACACGCAUACACAAGAACACACACACGCAUGGAAAGGAAAGGAGAGAAAUCCCUUUCUCUCUCUAAAUCUCUCCCAAAAUGGAUGGAUUUGGUGGAGAUUGAAGCUUGGAGGUGGAUCGCCUUCGUCUUCUUCAUCUUCUCCAUGGUUUGGAGCUCAUUUUGAGGUGAGCUUCUUGAGCCCUUUAAUGGUAGAUCUUUAAUGCUUGGUUUAAAUACCUUAUAAAUGGAUUUAGAGGAGUCCUAGCAUGCUAUCUAGAUGAUUAAUGCUUGAAUCAUGGAUCAAUUUAGUGAUUUCUUGCAUAGUUGUAACCUAGGGCUCCAAAAUGCAAACUUUCAAAAUAUGAGGGUUUGAUCUCAUUUGACCCUUCGUAAACCUAAUUGCUAGGUAACGAAACGCGUUGGCGAAGACGGUUCGGCAAUCCGACGAGCCGUUACAAAGUUAUUAAAGAAAUGGACGUUUAGGCUUCGGGUCCGCCGGGAGGGCCGAGGCGACGUCGUAAAAUCAUGGAAAUGGAUUUGAGGCAUCGUGGCACAUAACCGAAGACCUAUAAUUUUCGGGGCUGCGAAGCGGAGCACGGUUGAGGCGCAGUUGCAGUAUCGGGCCGUGCCGGAUACGGGUGCCGCGGGAGGCCGAUUGCAAGUGUCGACAAGCAAUCGGAACGCGAAUUAAGGUGGGUUGUGUUUACCGAAGCGACUAGGUCGCCUUUAUGUCUAAGAAACUAAGAAUCCAUGUUGAUGCAUAUAAAUGUAAAUGAAGCAUGUAAAUGAUGCAUGUAGCUAAAUAAUGCAUGUUGAUAGUAUGAUGUAAAUGCUAAAUAGAAUGCAUUAUGAGCAAGUUACAUAAUGCUAAAUAAUGUAAUGUAGAAAUGCUAGAAUGCAUUAUGAGCAAGUUACAUAAUGCUAAAUAAUGUAAUGUAGAAAUGCUAGAAUGCAUAAUGAGCAAGUUAUAUGAUGCAUGUUUAUAGUAUGAUGUAAAUGCUAAGUAGAUGCAUAUAAAUGAUAUAUGAGAUUAUAAACGCAUGAUUAGCAUUAUGAGAUCAUAGAUGCAUGCUUAGCAUUGUGAGAUUAUAUAUGCAUAUGAACUUGGUUGAUAACUCUAGCUUGAUUAGAGAGAUAACAUUGGAAAAUGAGAAUUGAUAACUCUAGAAUGAGUAGAAUGCUUAAUUGGACAAUUAGUAUGUGAAUUAGAUCGAGUGGCAUCUAACUUAGUGUUAAGGAACAUAGGUCGUGAGUAGACCUAGAAUCAAAUAGAUCGAGUGGCAUCUAACCUAGUGUUAAUAAACAUAGGUCGUGAAAUGAAAAGUACUUAACCUAGAGUCAAGUGAACCUAGGUUGGAAAGAAUAAUGAUCCUAGUGUAAUAAACCUAGGUUAAGAAUGUGAAAGCAAUAAACCUAAUGGGUGAACUUAGGUUGAGUAAAGGCUUAGACCUAGAGAGGUCAGUUCCAUAGGGUUAAGACCAACCCCUAUGUGAUGUGAAAUGGAUUCCGGAAUCCCAAGGCUAAAAGGAUACACCCAAAGUGGUGUCGGGUGUGUGCGACGAUUUCGCCGCCCAAGGGCUAAAGAACCAUUGUCGUGGCGUGUGCGACGAUUUCGCCGCCGGAUGGUUAGCCAGUUUGUGGAUCCUACCGCCUGUUGACUGAACCACUGUCGUGGCGUUUGUGCGACGAUUUCGCCGCCGGGUGGCUAAGUCAUGGACCUAGGCCGUUGUUGGGUGAGGUGCGAUUCGUUCGCCGCCAGACGGCUAGGACAGGAGUACGGUGAGCUGUUGCCAGCUGAGGUGCAUGUGAGAGUUCCUUCACCUCGAGCUAGACAGUGCGCGGACUAUCCGCGAUUGAUUGACUGAAGACCGAGUCGGGUGGCAUAGAGAACUAAGGUAAGAGAAACCUUAGGAAAGAAUGGCCAGUAGAAAAGUGCGACAAAGUGUUAAGAAUAAAGAAUAAGUAAAGAAUAAAGAUCGGCUAAGGAAUAAGAAUAGCUGAUUAGUAAAGAAAGGUUACAAGUAAAGAAUAGCUAAGAGCUAAAAGUAAACAUUAAAUGACAAGAGUAAAGAAUGAUUAAGAAUAUAAGUAGCGUUAAAGUAACCUACUUGCAUGAUUACAGGUAUUGCAUAUUGCAUUUCGUGAGGCAUGACAUGUAUUUCAAUUGAAUAUAUAUAUCUGUUGUAUAUUGUUGAACUAACAUGUUGCAGUGCCUCGUUAGACCUGUUGGUUGAGCUGGUUCUCUUGGGUGGCUAAACCCACUGAGGACUAUGGACAAUAGUCUCACCCCCGUGUUGCUGUUUUGGGGGUACAGGUACACACGUGUGCGGCGCGGCGGCGCAAGGCGAGGGCGUAGUUCUGCAGAUAGCGCCCUACCCCAGAGACCAGAGCUAGCAGUACCCCAUCUAUAUAGCUUAGGGGUAAAGGAAAUGAAAAGAAUACAAUGUAUCAAACUUGUAGUAAGUAAAUGUUGUAAUAACUUAGAUUGCAUUUGGAUGAAAAAGAAUGGAAACUGUGAUGUAAAAACUAUGAAAGUGAAUGAAUGUAAUAACUUAGGAUGUGUUUAUGUUGUAUGAUACCUUCCACUUGCAAUCUUGAUUGAUAUCUGUUCCUGGUUGGAACCUUCGUGAAUUGUAUUGAUUGCGAUGCUUUGAAUGUACAGGGGAGACUCUGUCCGUAGUACAAGGGAAACCUUGUCCAUUCGGCGAUGUCGGCGGCGCCGGGACCUUGGCCAAAUAGGCGGGUGGUCGCGGGCUGUGACAAUCAAUCCUACAGUUGAGGAUUCCAAGUUCAAUCCAUUCCUUAACUUUAAGGAAGACUAUGCUCAAUUGACCCUUAGUACUAAGGUUGAAUGUCAUAAUAUCUCAAUCGUUCUUGUUCUUGCAUUCUUUACUACCACUAAUGUCAUAUACACUAUCAAGUUCUUGAACUCAUGCCACACUUGUUCUCUAAAUGCUAGAUUUUUGUCCUCAUGCCAAAUGCCACACUUGUUUACUAAGGAUUCUAGACUCGUCGAUGUCAUUUGCUAGAUCUAUGUCAAAGUGUCACUUUUCGUUUACUAACCCUUCUAGGUUCUUGUCACAAUCAUGCAUACAUAGGGAUCAUCAUUCUCACACCCUUACAAAUAUUUAACAUGCAUUUGAAUUUACAUUAAACUAUAACAAAACUCACAAUUGACCCUAUUAUGCAAGAUGCUCAAAAAUGCACAUAUACUCAAAAUAUAACAAUUAGACAUAGAAAGACUUCCGAUGUCCUUGGAAUGCACCACCUACCUUAGAUGGUUACAAGGAUACUUCGGUGAAUUUCUUGGAAUUUUUUUGAAACCCUAAUCCGCGUGCUGCGGCUAUCUGUACGGAAAACGAUGUUUUUGUCAAUAACUUUGCAUACACUCGUCGGAUUGUCGAACCGAGCGUUCCAACGCGUUUAAAAUACCCUCAAUUAGGUUUCUACAUGAUCAAAAUAUAUCAAAACCUAACUUGGGCAAAACCCCUCUUUGGGAUGCCCUAACAUGCAAUUUUUGUAUUUUUCCUAGAUUGAUCUCAUUACUAAGAAAAAGAAAGCUUAGAAUCACUUGGGAAGCUUUCUAACAAGGUUUCUAAACUUUUAGAACCAUCCCUAGAGCAUCUACUUUGAGCCCUAGUGAUCCACCAUGAGAGGGGUCCAAGAAAUCCAUGUUUUUCAUGGAGUCAUGGUUCUUAGAGGAUUUCCUCACUUGUAGAGAGAUCAAGACCCAAAAAUCUAAGGUCUAAACCCAAACCCUAAACCCAUUUUUGCAUAAGGACUCACUUUUGCCCAAGCUCCAUCAAAGCCUACUUGUUGGAGAGCUUCUAGGAACACCAAAGCCACCAAAAUCCAUUUCUCCAAGCUCUUCUCCACCUUCUCCAAGCUCUAGGGCUUGCUUUCUAGAGAGAGAAAGAGAGGAAAAUGAGAGAGGGGGAUGUGUGUGGCUGUGGGAGGGAGAGAGAGAGGUGUUGGGGAGUUAACAUGUUGCUACAAUUGCAACUAGGCCCUCCAUUUCUUUUUAUUUGCGUCAGACCUCACUGGGCUGUCUGGGGCCUCUUGUACCGGUACAAGGAUUCUUGUACGGGUACAAGGCCAAACAGUGAGCCAAACCCGAGAGCUGCCUCUUGGGUUCGCAGGGUCUGUACCGGUACAAGGGGUCUUGUACCGGUACAAGGCCUGGACUGCACCAACCCGAGAGCUGCCUCUCGGGUUCGCAGGGUCUGUACCGGUACAAGGGGUCUUGUACCGGUACAAGGCCUGGACUGCACCAAUCCGAGAGCUACUCAGCUCGGAUUGCGCUGGUUGUACCGGUACAACUAUCACCUUGUACCGGUACAACAGCUCCAGAAUGUUGUUUUAGGCUUCGAUUCGACUCUACCUCGCGUCGGUCGAUGCUAAAACCAUUCUAAGUCUUCCCAAACUCAUUUUUAGCCCUUCCAACAUUAUUGGAAUGCAAGAGGAACUUGUCUAUCGUUUUCUUUCGAUGCUUUAACCAAUUUGGUCAAAGUUCAAUUAUCGUUUUCGGGUUUCGAUAUGUUACAUGCAGCUUGCCUCCUUCGGACCUGUCGAUCGAGCUUUUCCCUUGAGCGGCCGUACCCACUGGGAACUAUGGAGUUAGUUCUCACCCCACGUUGCUUUUGGGGUGUUACAGGUUCACACGUGAGCGGCGCGGCCACGCGAGGCGAGGGCGUAGCUCCGUAGAUAGAGCCCUACCACCGUGACCAGAGAUAGCAGUACCCAAGUCAGCCAAGCUAGGGGUUGUAGAAAAUGAAAGCAAAAUGAUCAAACUUGUAAUAAUCUUGUGAUGAUUGAUUGUAUUCGGAAGUUUAAAUGUAUUUGAAAGGAAAAGAAAUGUAAAUAAUAUCAAGUGAAUGAAUGUAAUAACUUAGGAUGUGUUUAUGUUGUUUGAUACCUUCCUUAUGCAAUCGUUGUAUGUUGAAUACUGUUCUUGGUUGGAACCUGUUGUAAUUGUAUUGAUUGCGACGCCUAGGACGUACAGGAAAAACUCUGUCCGUUCGGCGGUCUGUCGGCGUGCCGAACCUGACCAAAUAGGCGGGGCUCGGGGCGUGACAACACUGGACCUUUGUAAAUUGUGAGGUUCGAGUGUUUGAUUUGUAUUCUGAGCUUUUCCACAUUUUUUGGAAGGUCGUAGAUAGUGUUUCGACCUAUGGCUCGCAUCUCGAGAAUCGAGAUUUUAAACUUAGCGCUAAGGUCUCCAAAGAGAAGGACUUAGGCUGCUCUCGGGUUGGUUUCUGCAGAGUGUGGUACCGGUACAGCAUUGAGCUUGUACCUGAAUGAGGGGUGGUACCGGUACAACAUCGGGUUUGUACCGGUAUCAGGCAUCGUUUUCUGCCAACCCGAGGCUCGGGUUUGCGUGCACAGUGUUUGAUACCGGUACUCUUGCCCGAUGGUACCAGUACGCAGUGCAGUCCGCAAACUGCUUGUUUUGGGAGGGUGUUUUUACAAUUAUAGCAUCUCUAUAUAACACCCCACGCCCCUUAGGUGUUUCCCUGAGCUUGGAAACACAGGAGGAAGGGAGGAAAGCCCUCCACUUCCACCCUUUGGUUUUUUUUGAUUUAUGUUGGAAUUUUUCAGAUUUAAUCCUCUCUUUUUGUCCCUUUUUGCUUGUUGGUAGUAUUUCCACCAUGGUUGAAGGCUUGGAGCUUGGAGAAAAGCUUGUUGGAGGAGAGAUCUUCAACCCUAGUUGAUUUCAAGCCUUAUUUGGAGCUUCUCUUGAGGUUAGUAAUAUAUUUCUUGCUUUAGAUUCAUGUUUUAAUUGAUUUCUUGAGAUGAAACCCUAGAAUGUGAAACCUAGGGUUUAUUUUGGGGGUUUUUAAUUUGUAGCUCUUGGGGCUCAAUUGAUAGGUGUAGAACAUCUCGUUGGGAUAGAUUUGAAGGGCUCUAGCAUCCAUUUGAAAUUUGAGAGGGAUUUUCUAAACAUUAGGUGAGUUUUGCCUUAUUGUUGGAUUUGUUAAAGAUGAACACUUUGGGUGUUCGGUUAUUUUGUUUAACCCUCUUAGAAUUCUCUUUAGGGAGCUAAGAGACUUAUGGACAACUUCUUUUGUGUAAACGAAAGGGUUGCAAGAAGCCUCGGUGAGUUUGACCUCACCAAAAUGAGAAAAUCUCACCUAUGUCUUUUUAAAUAUUAUAAAAUAGAAAAUCAUGCAUAUUCAUGCUAGAUAAGGCAUAAAUGAAUUUUAGAAUGCUUGAAAUACACAUAUUAUAUACAAUGCAAAUUUGUACCUCUAUGUAGUAGAGAGUUAUAUAUGUCGGAAUCUUGCAUAUAAAUAGCAUUCUUAUAUGUGGCUUGGGAUCAUGUUUCAUGUAGUGAAAAUGACAAGUAUAAUAUGCCCUUGGACAUAGAUCUUAUAUUGGACAUAGGAGAAAACAUAAUGCCAUAAAGAGGCAUUAGACUAUAGUGAUGUGUGAAUUAGUAAGCUAAUGUCAUAAAGUGGCAUUAGGCUUAGAAUGUACUUGGACAUAGUAAGCUAAUGUCAUAAAGUGACAUUGGGCUUAAAAUGUGAUUGGACUUAGUAUGUUAAUGUCAUAAAGUGACAUUGAACUUAAUAUAUAGUUAAACCUUACCUUGGAACAUUAAACUAGACCGUUGGGGUUGCUAAUGAUUAUUACCAUGUUAGAGACAUGAUGACCGGGUUCUUGAGAUGACGACUAUGCUUGCUUACUAUUUGUGCUCAUUCGCACAUACUUGUGAGGGUCGCUCCCUACAAGCCGGCACUCCGGAGUUAGCCUACACGACAUAUACUCGCUUGUGCGGUAUUGAGAAGCCUACGGGGCCGGGUAGGAUAGACUCAUUCCUAGAGUGGGAAUAUUGAGCUACCACUGGCAUUUAGGCGGCACAAGCCGGACUACACUUGUAUAGGUCCUAAAAUGAGAUUGGAUAAUGACAUUAAACCAUAAUAUGACAAUCACUACUAGAUAGUUGUAGUAGUUGAAUUUCUUGAACAUGCUUGUGGCAUAGUAUUAAACACUUGGUUGAUAUACUUGGACAUAUAGUAUACUUGAUAGGGUUGCUUGUUGCAUUAUAGUAUACUUGUAUGACAUGUUUAAAGCACACUAGUAUAUAUUCUAAUGAUAUACUCAUCCAUGUUAGGCUAGCUAAUGCAAUUGUGGAACUUCAUGUUAUGUAAUGGCAUAGUAGCUAACAAAUUUAAUUCAUGUUUUAUUAUUCAUACUAUCGCUUCCAAUUAAGUGUUAGAAUUAUCUACUUUGCUUUUGGGCCUAGUGGUGCAUUUGCUAAGGUCAGUAAUUGUCUACUGGGAACUAUUAAUUAUAGUUCUCACGCCCCCUGUUUGUUAUUUUCUUUCAGAGCCUUCCACCUCGAGAGAGGCUCGGGAUCACGGGAAAGGGAUCGCCUCGAGCUAGUUAGCGAGAGAUUGUGCGAUAGGUGGUCCACCUCUCUUUUUAUUUCAUUUUGGAGAGGUUGAGAGAUCUAUACCAUUUUGUAGAGACCACCAUUUUGGAUAUUAUAGCACUUGUAUUUGAGACUUUUGAUGGAUUACUCUAUGUCUUAUCUUACUGGGUUUCCACCCUUCAUGAGCUUUGUAGUGAAGAAUAUUGAUUAAAAAUGUGGAUUUGCAAGCUAGCUAAAUACUAAUUGGUCAUAGUCACAAUUCUCCAAAUGUUGGUGGAUUUGAUUAGUUGAAUAAGAAGUUAAUUAAAAAUAAAAAAAAACUAAUUGGUAGAAGCUCUUUACGACAACAUCAUUCCUUUUCCAUUCAUUGUUUCAGGAGGGUAUAUUUAGGGUUGUAGCCGCAAUACUUCAUAUAGGAAAUAUCGACUUUUCAAAGGGGACAUAUAUAAAUAGAUUCAUCUGUAAUAAAGGAUGAGAAAGCAAGGUUCCAUUUGAACACAGCAGCAGAACUUCUAAUGUAUGUCGAUUUCAUUCCAGCACCAUAGGCCAUUUUUUUUCUAUAAUUUCCGAAAGCUAGAUGUUUGUAGUUUAUUAUUCAUGUAAUUCAUCAGCUAAUGUUUUUGCAGGUGUGAUAGCGAGAAACUAGAGAAAGCACUGAUAACACGUGUGAUAGUAACACCAGAAGGAGUUAUUACUAGAACGCUUGACCCUGCUUCUGCAAUUGUUAGCAGGUAUGGAUUAGCAAAAACAAUAUACUCCCGGUUGUUUGAUUGGUAAUGUGUUUGAUUAUAUAAGAUUAGUUCCUACACAAAUUAAAGAGUAUUUCGUUAUUGAUGCAAAGCAAGAAAUUUUAUUCCUCUUUUGUUAGAAACUGACUAUUAAUGAAUCCUAUGGAUGAAAACAGUGACUGGAAAAGCUAUAGGUAUUUAUUGCAAUUAAGUUUAGUGAUAUCUGUUAUUUGUAUUUAUUACACUAAAAAGCCCAGUGGUUAGGCAACAAUUAUAUAAAUAGAUAAAAAAGUGAUUAAUAUAAACAAACAGAGCAUAUGCAUGAAUAUCCAAAGCUAAUUAAAAAUGAAAAAAAAAAUCAAAAAAAUGAUCAAAACUUACCAAAAGAAAGUAGUGAGAAAGAAGGAAAGUGGACGAACGAUUCCUCCCAAGCGGCGAUCGUGUGCGGCUCGGAGAAGGUCCUCCUAAGCGGCGAUCGCGUGUGACACGACGAAGGUCCUCUGUAAGGUACCGGACUUCUAAAAUUAUGAAGUUACGGUGUACAUUUAAAUAGUUCCGGUGAGGUUGCGGUGGAAUGUAACAUACCGGAUUUUAAAUAUAAAAGAGAAAAAUAAAUAAAAAUAGUAUGAGAUACUAUUUUGUUGGAUUUAGAGAAGUGAAAUAUCGGUUGGGAACGACCUGUGCUGAAAUCGGAGCGAAAACAGAAGAUUUAGAAUUUUCUGUUGGAAACGGGACUGAUAAAUUAGCAGAAAAUGUACAGUCUCAGAAAAUUAUAAAAAUUGGCGGGGAUGUUAGAAAUAUUUGUAUGAGGCUAGAUUUAAAGUUUCAUAUUUUUCUGACACCCGUAGAGUGAGAAAUAAAAUCCGAAAGUUAUCUGAUAAAGAUUACAGUUCGGCACAGCUUUCGGUGACCAAACGGGGUCGAAACUGAAAUAUUAAAAUUUCUUUGGACUCUUUAAGUAAAACCGAAUAUGACUGUCAGAUUUGAGCUCAAACGGAUAUUCAAGGAGCUGCGAAAGAUAUCAGAUUUGGAACUCUGAUUUGAUGUGAAUGUUUAUGUAUAUUGACAGGUUGUUGACUAUAAGUAAGAAGGUACUAGCUUCUUCCUUUCACGCCGGACCAUCCACCCUAACAAGCACACGUUCACAUGGGAAUCGAGCGUCGGUGUAGUGAUGAGAACCAUCCUUUUUCUCUCUCUAAAUAUCGUUCUCAGUCUCUCAUAUAUUUCUGCCCAAAUUGCGGCGGGUGGGUGGAGAUCGAGUUGUGAACUCCUUUUGGAGGCGCCGGAUGAAGCGUUUCGUACGCGCGUUGGAGCGGCGUGUUUUCGUCUUUUGCGGGUUCACUUGGGGUAAGCUUUUGAGGAUUUGCUUUAAUCUUAGCUUUAAAGUGUUCUGUAGCCUCUAAUGAAUCUUUGUUUGGCAUGUUGAUCCAUUUUAUAUUGGAAUUAUUUGGAGGGUUAAUUGUACGUUAGGGCACUCAAAUUGCAACGUUUUUAAAAAUAUGACGGGUUGGAUCUCAUUUUGCUUUCAGUAACUAAUUGUAGUAACGAAAAAGGUUGGCGAAGACGGUUCCGAGUAAUCCGACGAGCGUUACAGAAGUUAUUAAAGAGAAUAGACGUUUAGCUUCGGCGUCUGUGCGGGAGGGCCAAGGCCAGACGUCGUAAAUCAUGAUAAUGGAUUUAAUGGCAUCGUGGCACGUAACGAAGACUAUAAUUUUCGGGGGGUCGCGAAGCGGAAACACGUGGGCGCAGUUGAGUAUCGGGCGGCGGAUACGGGUGGCGAAAGGGCCAAUUUGCAGAGUGCUCACAAGCAAUCGGAACGCGAAUGGAGGUGGGUUGUGCUUACGAAUGCGACUAUGUCGCCUUGUCUUUAGCAUUAUCUCUAUUGAUUGCAUGUGCAUGUAGGACAAGACUAAAUGGUGAUAAUAAUAUGCAAUUAAUGUAAAGGCUAAUGUGAAGAAUGGGCAUGUACAACGAUUGCAGCUGACUAAAAUAUAGCUAAGUAGCGCAAGGGUGAGAAUGUAAUUGCUAGUAAUGUUAAGAGUGAUAUUAAUAAUAAGUUGCAUAGAUAGAAAUGUCAAUGUAUGAUGAGGAAUUAGAUGAGUAUCUCGUAGUAAGCCGAGUGAUGGACAAAUAGGAGUUGCUCAAGGUAUAAUGAGUGGCAUUCACUAGUGGUAAAGAAUCAUAGUGUGAUGUGAACAUAGUUUGGAAAAGAAGAAUGAUCUAUGUGUAAAUAAACUAGGUUUAUAGAAUGUGAAGCAUAAAUAAUGGGUGACUUUAGGGUUGAGGUAAGGGUUAGUAUCCUAGCAGAUAAGUUUCCAUUAGGGUUGAAGACCAACCCUUGUGAUGAUGAAAUGCGAUUCCGGAAUCCCAAGGCUAUAGGAUUACACCAAAGUAGGUUGUUGAGGGUGUGCGACGAUUUCGCGCCAAAGGGCUAAAGAACAUUGUACGUGGCAGUGUGCGUACGAUUUCGCGCCGGAAUGGUUAGCCAGUUGUGGUUAUCUACGCUGUUGACUGAACACUGUCGUCGCGUUUUGCGCGAUUUCAGCCGGCCGUGGUGGCUAAGUCAUGGACUAGGGCCGAUUGUUUGAGAUGAGUGCAUUAGUUCGCCGCCAGACGGCUAGGACAGGAGUACGGUGAGCUGUUGCCAGCUGAGGUACAUGUGAGAGUUCCUUCACCUCGAGCUAGACAGUGUGCUGACUAUCCGCGAUUGAUCGACUCAAGACCGAGUCGGGUGGCAUAGAGAAGUAAGGUAAGAGAAACCUUAGGAAAGAAUGGCCAGUGAAAAAGUGCAACAAAGUGUAAAGAAUAAAGAAUAAGUAAAGAAUAAAGAUCGGCUAAGGAAUAAGAAUAGCUGAUAAAGUAAAGAAAGGUUACAAGUAAAGAAUAGCUAAGAGCUAAAUGUAAACAUUAAAUGAUAAGAGUAGCGUUAAAGUAACCUACUUGCAUGAUUACAGGUAUUGCAUAUUGCAUUUCGUGAGGCAUGAUAUGUAUUUCAAUUAAAUAUAUAUCUGUUGUAUAUUGUUGAACUAACAUGUUGCAGUGCCUCCUCGGACCUAUCGGUC
This 16237-nucleotide long non-coding RNA is filed under the name Ananas comosus (pineapple). Its description in RNAcentral is "long non-coding RNA (ACOM_LNC029161)". Lineage: Eukaryota; Viridiplantae; Streptophyta; Magnoliopsida; Poales; Bromeliaceae. The record is from RNAcentral.